Molecule: ribosomal RNA, 1351 nt
Filed under: uncultured fungus
Lineage: Eukaryota; Fungi
Description: eukaryotic LSU rRNA
Rfam family: Eukaryotic large subunit ribosomal RNA (bases 609-1351)
Source: RNAcentral
AGUCGUAACAAGGUUUCCGUAGGUGAACCUGCGGAAGGAUCAUUAACAAAUCCUGAAAUUGUUUGUGUAUGGGAUUGUUGUAUUGAUUUCAUUUGAACAAGGGGAAUCACUGUAUUCCUCCUAUUCAUUUGAUAUCAUAUGCAUUCCCAUCAUAAAACAAUUACACACGUUCCAUGUUACAAUUCAUUUUGUACAUGAUAACACAUUUCUACGAAUCAUCUAAUUGUCACAUUAUUAAUUUAUUUAUAAAGACUUUUAACAAUGGAUCUCUAGGCUCUUGCAUCGAUGAAGAACGCAGUGAAGUGCGAAAAGUAAUGCGAUUUGCAUGCUCUGUGAGUCAUCGAAUCUUUGAACGCAUAUGGCACCUGCUAACUUUUGUUAGAAGGUAUGCCUGUUUGAGAAUCAUAUUAUAUUUAUUUCUUUUUGUGUUUCUUUGAUAUCAUUAAUUCAUUUUGAUGACUAUCAUUGAGGCAACAAAUUGACACAAUUGGACUUUUAUCAUUAAUCGUCUUGAAUUCUGAAAUACUAUGACUUGUUGAUAGAUAAAAUAGAGAAUGUAUUCUCAUUCAAUAUAUAUAUUUUGACAUGUCAAACAUACACCAACACAAUGAUCUCAAAUCAGGCAAGGCUACCGCUGAACUUAAGCAUAUCAGUAAGCGGAGGAAAAGAAACUAACAAGGAUUCCCUCAGUAACGGCGAGUGAAGUGGGAAGAGCUCAAAUUUUAAAUCCAAGAGUAUUAUUGAUAACUCUUUGAAUUGUAGUUUAUAGAUAUGAAUCAUGGUUGAUGUAUUGAUAUACAAGUCUCUUGGAAUAGAGUAUCACAGAGGGUGAGAAUCCCGUUUGGAUAUUAAUAUCAUUGAUCGAUUGAAUCAUGUCAAAGAGUAGAGUUGUUUGGGAAUGCAGCUCAAAAGGGGUGGUAAAUUCCAUCUAAAGCUAAAUAUUGGCAAGAGACCGAUAGCAAACAAGUACUGUGAAGGAAAGAUGAAAAGCACCUUGAAAAGGGAGUUAAAUAGUGCGUGAAAUUGUUAAAAGGGAAACGAUUGGUACCAGUAUCGUUUUCAUAUUAGUUGAAUAGUCGAGUCAUUAUCGUCUAUGAUUUCUAAUAUGAACGAGUCAAUGACAGUUUGUGAUUUCGCAUGACUCGCUAAAGAAAGAUGACGUUUCUUGACGUUUUAUAGUCUUUAGAAAUUGAGUGCGUCAUGACAGACUGUAUAAAAUAUCCAUGAUAAUCUAUUCAAUAUCAUGUUGUUUGAAACAUUUCAUAAACAGCUUUGUUCUGAUUAUGAGUGUCCAGGGUAACAUUAAUUAUAGCACAUGGACAAUACAUUGACGAAAUGGUUCUAAACGACC